Non-coding RNA from Rattus norvegicus (Norway rat), 4106 nucleotides. Lineage: Eukaryota; Metazoa; Chordata; Mammalia; Rodentia; Muridae. The record is from RefSeq and is a predicted model, not a curated record.
CACUAAAGCUAGCCCAGGGUUUCCUCACCUGCCCCCUGCCUGAUGCGGCUGGAGUCUGGAGGUGUCUCAGGCGCUGGAGACCCCGGGGUCGGGGGUUCCGGGAACAUGGCGUCGGGUUCCUGCGGUGCUUCCUGCAGAGGGCUUGAACCGGAAGUGGGCGCAAGCAGGCGUGGGAACCAGCAGACCACUGUUGCCCUGAGCUACCGCCAGGCUCCAAGCAGGGUGAUAGCAGUGCUGGUUGCUGAGCAACGAGCCUGUUGCCAAGACAACGGGAAGGACUGACGCACGGAAACGAAGUCCGGGCGGUGCCGGUGCAUGGGACCCAGGUCCCGGAUCCCGCGGCCGAGUGAGGGCGGCCUGUGAUCUGUGUAUCCAUUGCGGCUCCUCCCUCCGCAUUGGACCCCUUGCACCACCACUCUUGCUGCGUGACAGCUUUCUGAGACUGCCAGAAUCCCUCACAGAAGCCCGGAUUUCCCAGAGCCUGGUGUGCCUUUCCUUACUGCAGCCUGUAGUCACUUCUGCUGUUUGAACACACGGUGGCGUGCAAGGAAGGUUUGUAUCCUCCCUGCUCCAGGCAUUGCCAGAAGGUAGGUGCAGAUGGGACUUGGAGAACGCAGCCCUCUUUCUGUAGGCAGCCAAGGCUCUGCAGGUCAUCCCUAACAGACUCACUUACUCAUCAAGCUGUGCUUGUCGGGCGCUCCGAGCUUUCAGUGCCGCCCCUGUUUGGAAGCAGCUAUUUCUUUUCCAAGCCCCUGCUGAGUUCACAGGACACACCUGAGUUGCUUCCAGUCCGUGCUCACAUACUUUUUAACUGGCUUCCCUUUUCCUCAAUCAGUCGUUUUGUUUUGUUUUUAAAUCAUGCGUUUUAUUUAGUGUGUGUUGGGAGAAUGAGGUAGGGAGCAUGCGAGUGCCCUGAUGUGUGUGUAGGGAAGUUAGACAGCAACUGGUGGGAAUCACACUUUCUUCCCGCAAUGUAAAUCCUCUGAACUGGACUCAGGUCAUAAUGCUUCACGGCAAGUCCCUUCCAGACUGAGCCAUCUUGUCAGACUGCCUUCCGUUGCUUUUGUUUUAUUUAUUUAGGUUUGAUUUUUGUUUCUGAGAUAGAGUUUUGCUGUGGAGUCUGGACUGUCCUGCAUCUCACUAUGGGCUGGCCUCAGAACUCACAGAGAUCAGCCGGCUUCUGCCUUUGAAGUGCUAGGAUUAAAGGCAUGGGCCAGCAAGCCUGGCCCCCUCCUAUAGUUUUAAUGCUGCCCAGUGUGUUCCUCAACCUCCCUCUCCUCUCUUCUUGCUUUAUUUGUCUCCACACAUAGAUCAAAGUCUAGAUUAUCUUCCCCUUUAACAAUUCCUGGUACUAGAACACAAGUCGAGUUUGAUGCCCAAGACCCACAUGUAGAAAGAGAGGGGGCUGGGGAUUUAGCUCAGUGGUAGAGCGCUUACCUAGGAAGCACAAGGCCCUGGGUUUGGUCCCCAGCUCCGAAAAAAAGAACCAAAAAAAAAAAAAAAAAAAAAAAAAAGGAGAGAACCAAUUCUCACAACUGAUCCUCUGACCUCCUCACACGCACUGUGUUGUGUGAAUAAGUAAAAUACAUACAUACAUACAUACAUACAUACAUACAUACAUACAUACAUGUAAGACAAUUGGGAUGGGGACUGCAGAGAUGGCUCAGUGCUUAAGAGAAUUGGUUAGUCUUCCAGAGGACUCAGGUUCAAUCCCCAGCAUCCACCCCACAUGACAACUCACGACCAUCUGUAACUCUAGUUCUGUUGGGAUCUAAUGCCCUCCUCUGGCCUGCUCAGGCACCAGGCCUGUGUGCAGUAAACAGACAUACAUGCAUGAAAACAUUCAUACACAUAAAAUUAGUAAUUUUUUUAAAAUGAGACUGAAUACGAUCAAACCAUAUUGCAUACAUAUACAAAAAUUUUCAAAGAACGAUAAAUGAAGAUUUAAAAAAAAAACUCCCUGAAUGAGGUAGGGACCCCCAUUGCAGGGGUCCCAGGUCCCUUCUGAGGCUGGUGUGAGGAAACUAAUUGGUUCUACCCUCCAACCUGUCCAAUGAGCAGCAAACUCUACCCGACCUGAUGGUGAUUCCCUUGGAUGCUCCCCCAGCCUCACUCACCGGAACACCAGAUCCUUGGGCACUUCCUUUGGCUGCUGCUUCUUUCUCCUGGAAGAAAGGCACGGAAAAGCUUGGGGCCCGAGCUCAGGACCAGGGAUCCUCAUCUUCCCUUUGGGGUUGCCACCAGCCAAGCACCCGCCAGUCCUGUUCCAAGACUCACCUCCUCUUCAGGAAGACAAUGAGCAGGCCCACCAGGAUGAAAAGCAGGAGGAUGCCUACAAUGGCUCCAGCAAUGACGGCUGCCGUGAGGAUCAAAGGGAGAAAUGCUGGUGACUAUGUGUGCAUGACACGUGUGUGUGUGUGUGUCUGUCUGUCUGUCUGUCUUUCUGUCUGUCUGUGUCUCCAUGCAUGUCUCCAUGUGAUAUGGCACAUGUGUGUAGAAGUCAAAGAACAGCUUUUUAUGUGGUCAGUUUUCGCUCUUCGCCAUGUGGACCCCAUGGAUCAAACUCAGGUCUUCAGUCUUGUGAGAUACACAUCUUUACCUGACGAGCCAGCUUGCUGGCCCAAAGCCCAGGUCUUGUCUACAGAUUUGCUAUCUCUGUCUUCAGCCAGCUCUGUGUUAAGAGGCCCACAGGAAGGAUGGACAAAAGGGAAAAGACAACCCUUCUCUGAAAACCCCUGACUUUUAGCUGCACACCCAAAUGCAUCAUUUUUUAAAUGCAUUCCUCCUCCCCUGCACGUACGGACACCAGGGUGCACAUGCGGAGGUUAGAGCACAGCUUGAAAGAGUUGCCUCUCUCCUUCCACCAUGUGGGUUCCUGGGGUUGAUUUCAGGCCAGCAAGCUCCUUCACCCUGUGAUCCAUCUUGCCAGCUCAAAUACAUUAAGAUGCAUCACUUCUUCCUCUACAUUUGUAUGUGCAGGUGUGUACAUGUGAGUAUAGGUAUCUUUAGAGCCCAGAAGAGAGCAUUGGAUACCCUGAAAAAGGGAGCCUGAUAUGAGUGCGGGGAACUAAACUCAGUUCCUCUGCAGAAGCAGUAUGUACUCUUAGCUGGGUGUGGUGGCUCAUGCCUUAAAUCCCAGCACUCAGGAGGUAGAGGCAGGCAGAUCUCUGUGAGGUUAAGGCCAUCCUUGUCUACACAGUGAGUUCCAAGCCAACCAAGGCUACGUAGUGAGACUCUGUCUCAAAAAACAAGCAGCAAAGGAGUAAGUGCUCUUAACUGCUGAGUCGUCUCUCCAGCCCCCUAAACACGUCAUGUCUGAGCUGACCCGGGAGCUGAAGCAUAACAUUCCCUUCCUUGGCCUGACCAGAGGCAUUUGGAGGCAUCUUCAGUUCUCACAAUUGUCUGGUGGGGUGCAACUGACAUCUGAGCCACUGAGACCAGACAGGCUGCAUGGUGCGCACACUAAGAGGGCUACCCACCCAAGUGAAGAAUGUGGCCCAGUUGAAAGAUAAAAGUUUUUUUUUUUUUUUGAUUCUUUUUUUCGGAGCUGGGGACCAAACCCAGGGCCUUGGGCUUCCUAGGCAAGCGCUCUACCACCGAGCUAAAUCCCCAAACCCAAGAUAAAAGUUUUAAAGUUGCCCCCCUAGACACAAAGUUUAGAGCAGAAAAAAAAAACAGGUUAGUCCCCAAAAUUGUAUAUUCCAAGAAGUCUCUCCUAGGGCUAUAGAAUGGAUAAUUACAUUGGCCAGCUCAACAGCUUUCUCCCUGAAACUAGCUGACCAUAAAUCUUAGAAAACAAUCUUGAGAAGCAGGAAACAACUUCUCCUAGGAACUAGCGGAGCAUGAAGUUAAACAAUCUGAGAAGUAGGAGACAGCUUCUCCUAGGAGACAAUCUUGGGGGACAGAGAGUUCUUCCUUGUGAUUUUUCACUGUUAUUCUACACACUUUCCAAUGACGCCAUCCCUGCCCUCUCGGGUUGUGGUUUCUCCCUUUAAAUACCUCUUCUCCCAGCCUCUUGGGGUCGAACUCCACUGCCCCUGCAUGGGAUACGAGUCUCGACCCCAGUGCACUGGUUGCUAUCGAUAAACCUCAUGUGAUUACAACAA